GAGAUUCAACGCGAUGGGAUGCGGUGAGAAUGCCACUGUGGCAGUCUUCAAGGAUUCCGUCUACAGUUGAACAAAUUGAUGCUCAUUAUCAAAUAACACCGUUUUUUAUUAUGAGCUUUAAUCCUGCCUCUAUGCAGGAAUGGAAAUGAUUCGUUCCUACAAGAAUCAGCCAUCGGAGAAUCCGCAAAGACCAUUUCAAACGGAGUGUUUUUGUUUGCAUAACACCCGCAUAGAUCCACUGGCUUAUCCUCCUGACUAUCAUUAUGCCUUGAGUUCAUUUAUCGUUUCCAGCGAAGAACAGUCAAAAUAAUUACCUCCCUUCCUGCCUGAAAUGUAAUAAAAGACAAAUUUGUGGCA
This is a long non-coding RNA of Oncorhynchus nerka (sockeye salmon), 357 nucleotides long. RefSeq lists it as uncharacterized. The transcript is spliced from 3 exons. Lineage: Eukaryota; Metazoa; Chordata; Actinopteri; Salmoniformes; Salmonidae. The record is from RefSeq and is a predicted model, not a curated record.